Non-coding RNA from Macaca mulatta (Rhesus monkey), 4249 nucleotides. Lineage: Eukaryota; Metazoa; Chordata; Mammalia; Primates; Cercopithecidae. The record is from RefSeq and is a predicted model, not a curated record.
UAACUUCUUUUAAAAUUUCUUGUGUUGUGGGUCUGCUGACAAUGAAUUCUCUGUUUUUGUGUGAGAAAGUCUGUAUCUUUCCUUUAUUUUGGAAGCGAUUUUCACUGGGUGUAGAUUUCUGGUUGAUAGUUUGUUUCUUUUUCCUUUCAGUGUUUUAAAGCUGUCACUCUAUCAUCUUCUGACUUGCAUGGCUCCUGACAAGAGAUCUGCUAUAAUUCUUUGUUCCUCUGUAUAUAAUGUGUUUUUUAUUCUAUAUUUGCCUUCAAGAUAUUCUUUUUUAUUUUCAGCAGUUGUAAUAUGGUAUGCCUAGAUGUGUAUGUGUGUGUGUAUUUUCUGGUGUUAUUUAACCUGGUAUUCACUGAGCUUUAUGGAUCUGUGGCUUUGUGUCUGUCAUGAUUAUUGGAAAAUUCUCAGCCAUCAUUUCUUCAAACAUUUCUCCUACCUUAUUCUCUUUAAUUUAUUUCUGGGACUGUAAUUACAUGUAUAUUAGGAUCUUUAAUAUUGUCCCGAGGCUUUUGGAUGUUCUGUUCUGUUUUUCCCUCAGUCUUUUGUGUUUCAGUUUGGGUAAUUUCUAUAGCAUUAUCUUUAACUGUUUAUUUCCUCAGCUGUGUCAACUUUAUUUAUGAGCUCAUUGAAAACAUUAUUUCUGUUACUGUGUUUUCAUUUCCAGCAUUUCCAUUAGAUUCUUUCAUAUAGUUUCUGUAUUUUUGCGGAAAGGACCUUUCUAAUCUUGCAUAUUGUCCUUCUUUUCCAUCAGAGCCAUUAAUAUAUUCAUCAUGGCUAAGUUCCCUGUCAGGUAGUUUCAGUGUCUGUGUUGUAUCUGGUUCUGUAGAUGCUGUUCCGUUCUGUUGAUGGCUGUGGUGUGGAGCUGGUGUGUAGUUCUGGGCCUGGAACACAUUCCUGCUCCUCCCCCAGGGUACAGGUUCUUUCUCUCGCCUUACUCCAGGUCUAAAGGGUUUCCACUGGUGCCCUCAUGGCAAUGGUGUUGCCUUUUCCCCUGGAGAUCAAAGUUUUUAUCCAUAGGGAAGUUGGGGGAGAAACAUCUGGGAGGGGUUUUGUGUCCCUCCUGCCGUGGCUGCUGUCCCAGUCCCUCAGGCCUGUAUCAUGAGGGAUGCUUUCUCAUACCCUCCCCCACCCGCCUGGGGUCGUGGGGGAAAGCCUGGAAAAGGGUGCAGACUCUUGCUUCGGACUUCCCACUUUCUUGCCCACCCAUACUCCGUCCCUAGCAGUUUGUUAAGUAUUCCAGCUGAAUCCUUACUGCUAUGCGUCUGUGGGGCCCCAGGUGCACCAGUGUUCACGCCCCAUCUCUUCCUGUGGGCACCUGUCUCUUCUUAGAUUUCAGGCUAGUUGGCUGAACCUGAGCUCUCUGAUAGCUUCAAUGAGAGUUCUAAACUUGCAGGUUUCCAGCUUUUUUGUUGUUGUAAAGGUGUGAGCAAUGUUCUUUCCAGAUUGCUGCAUCUAAAGCAGAAACUGGGAGUCAGAAUUGAGUGAAUUUAAAGGAAAAGAUAAGGAAAAAAAUCAUUUGUGGACUGAAUUGGUAACCACUUCUCUUGUAGGAUAAUGCCAUUUGGUCUUUCUAAUCCUGUGAGGUGAGUAAUCACCAUUCCCAUUUACAGAUGAGGUUCUGAGAGGAUGAGAAAGGAUCUGGGGUUCCUCUCUGGUCCUGCCUGAUUGCACGGGAACAGCUGCUCUCCGCUGCCUUCUGAGGCUGUGAAGUACGAGUGUGAGAUUAGGGAGGAACCCAUGGAAGGAGGCGGUGUGGCCCUCCGUCCUCAGCCUGCACUAAAGCGAGCUCGCCGGGACUGGGCUUGGGGAGUUUAGGGCGAUGAGGGAGGAACUGGCAUGGCUUGGGUGGGCUGAGGCUCUGGCUGGGACUCACACAGGGACUCAGUAGGAAGUGGAUUGUAGGGAAAAAUGGCACUAACGGCUGGAGAGACCUGGAUGGCUCUCUAGCGAGUCCCUUGCUGCCCAUGCGAGAGACAGCAGAGUCCUCACAGCCUGGGAAUGUGGCUCAGUCCCAGGGCCGGGAUGGAGUGUUUGCCAGUGUCAGGGAAUCCAGACUUGGCCCUGUGUGUGGAGACUGGCGGUGGGGAACGGUGUAUGGGAAAAGCACAAAUGGGGAUGGAGCUGCUGGAGAACCACCCCGAAGCUUCUGCUCAGUCACAGCCUGCUCUCCCUCCCUCCGAAGCACUCCCAGGCCCACACGCCAAGGCAAAGGGUAGGAGUGUACACAAAUACAAACACACACACACAAUCCUUUUGUGACUUCCCUUUGAAGUUUUCAAUUAUGUUUUCAUUCAUUUAUAUAUUCCUUUAUUCAUUCAAUAAAUAUUCAUUACUGCCAAGUUCUGCACCCUGGAUAACCUGAUCUUCCUGAGUGAAGGGGGUAGGGAUGCAGAAAGCAUGCAGCUUAGUGGCCCUUGGUGCUCUGCUUCUCUCAGAGAUGACCCGAGGAACGGCCUGAGUGUGGGAAGGAGCAAGGAUCAGUUUUCCGGAACCCCUUCAAGUUUCUUGGGAAGAAGGGUCCUUGGAACUGAAGAUGAUUUUGGGGAGUGAAAGAAACCACCUUUUCCUGGUAGUAGCAGAGCCAAAACUCCAGCCUUCAACCCAAAGACCCGGGUCUGUCCCCAGGCAUUAGCACCCUCCUCGGGGCCCCGUUGUCAUCUGUGACUUUUGCCUCCUGCAUCUCAGUUUCCGUGCCUGUCAAGUGGAGAUAUGAUACCUCAUUCUGGGGAGAGACAAUGAAGUACUGCGGUGAAAAGUACACGUGCUGUACAAAAUUAGGAAAUCCUCGUCACCAGACUUAGAGAAACAUACAAAGUGGAGUUGACUCCCAGGAUGGAGACACAGCUUCCCAGAAUCCUGUUUCACCUGAGGCACAGAAGCUUUCCUUUGUUCACCGUUGCCAGCAGUUAUUGGACUGUGGCUGGGAUUACCUGUCAGAAUUCACAGACAUUUCUCCUUUGCUCUGGCACUGAUUGCUGCUGGAAAGACAUCUGAAACGCACCUGAUUUUUCUUCUUAUGUUGUCCGGGCAGUUUGAGUUUGAGGUGCUGAUGAAGCAUGCAGGAAAAAGAUCAUUCACUGACUGGGCACGGUGGCUCACACCUCCGAGCACCUUGGGAGGCCAAGGCAGAAGAAUUGCUUGAGCCCAGGAGUUCAAGACCAGCCUGGGCAAUAUGAAGGUGCCUGCUUCCCCUUCCACCAUGAUUGUAAGUUACCUGAGACCUCACCAGCCAUGAGGAACGGUGACCUUGGUUUGGCCACUUUUUCAGGACUCUAAAUGCCAAAGAAGACUUAUCUCCAGAGAUAUUAUAGAACCGGUUUGUUUUACUACAAACUUACCAAUACCCAUGAUAGAGGGAUCACAUCCAGAUACAAAGUAGCCCACAAUUCUUGCCAGUGGUGUGAAGUUAUGCUUCUUAACAGCAUCUUCACUAGCUAUGAUAACAGCUCCAGCACCAUCAGCUAUCCCCUUGAAAAUAAAAAUACUAGAAUAACUAAAGGCUAAAAUAAUCCAGUUAAUCAAGGUUUGAACUAAUGGAGUAGUAGUAUCAGGAAUAUGGCAGGACAUAGGAAGCCAGUGCACAAUCUGAGAUAACAACUAGAAAAGUGGUACUCUGGUGGAUGAAGGAGAUUUUUUAAGGCACAGAACACAACUUUACUAAAGAAAAAGGAAAAGGGUGUCAAGGAAAAACUUCUUUCUAGAUGUGAGUAGAUGUAAGAAAAAAUACGAUGAACUGUAUGCAUGAGAAAAAAAAGUUUGAAAACCAAAAUAAGCCAGUUAGAUUUGUUUCCGAAAUGUCUUAGUUUGGAAAAAACUAAGAAAUCAGAAGAGUAUUAUAUAAAUAUGAAAAGAUUUUGUGUGGGACUAUGAAAACCUACAUUGAUUGAAUAUGAACACUAUUAGUUUAAGCUAAACAACUAAAGACUGGCAUAAAAAGUAUUUACAAGAUACUUCAUGAUUAUCUUGUGUUGAACACAUCAGGAAGAAUUGAAGCUAAUCUGUGUGGUGAUACCAACCGAUGCAUUCCCUGCAGUGACAGUUCCAUCUUUCUUGAAUACUGGAGGAAGUUUCUGUAACUGUUCCAGGGUGGUUUGGGGCCGAGCAUGCUCGUCUACCUGCAUUGUCUGUUUUCCUUUCUUUGUCUUCACUUCAAUUGGUGCCAUUUCAUCAUUAAAGUAGCCAGCAUCAUUAGCUGAAAAAUAGUAGAAGGACUAUCAUAAGAAUAAAAGAAACAUGAAUAUAA